CAGGAUUAGAUACCCUGGUAGUCCACGCCGUAAACGAUGUCGACUUGGAGGUUGUGCCCUUGAGGCGUGGCUUCCGGAGCUAACGCGUUAAGUCGACCGCCUGGGGAGUACGGCCGCAAGGUUAAAACUCAAAUGAAUUGACGGGGGCCCGCACAAGCGGUGGAGCAUGUGGUUUAAUUCGAUGCAACGCGAAGAACCUUACCUGGUCUUGACAUCCACGGAAGUUUUCAGAGAUGAGAAUGUGCCUUCGGGAACCGUGAGACAGGUGCUGCAUGGCUGUCGUCAGCUCGUGUUGUGAAAUGUUGGGUUAAGUCCCGCAACGAGCGCAACCCUUAUCCUUUGUUGCCAGCGGUCCGGCCGGGAACUCAAAGGAGACUGCCAGUGAUAAACAGGAGGAAGGUGGGGAUGACGUCAAGUCAUCAUGGCCCUUACGACCAGGGCUACACACGUGCUACAAUGGCGCAUACAAAGAGAAGCGACCUCGCGAGAGCAAGCGGACCUCAUAAAGUGCGUCGUAGUCCGGAUUGGAGUCUGCAACUCGACUCCAUGAAGUCGGAAUCGCUAGUAAUCGUGGAUCAGAAUGCCACGGUGAAUACGUUCCCGGGCCUUGUACACACCGCCCGUCACACCAUGGGAGUGGGUUGCAAAAGAAGUAGGUAGCUUAACCUUCGGGAGGGCGCUUACCACUUUGUGAUUCAUGACUGGGGUGAAGUCGUAACAAGGUAACC
Molecule: ribosomal RNA, 728 nt
Filed under: uncultured bacterium
Lineage: Bacteria
Description: bacterial SSU rRNA
Rfam family: Bacterial small subunit ribosomal RNA
Source: RNAcentral